This 774-nucleotide long non-coding RNA is filed under the name Brassica rapa (field mustard). RNAcentral's name for it is "long non-coding RNA (BRAP_LNC000617)". The record is from RNAcentral. Lineage: Eukaryota; Viridiplantae; Streptophyta; Magnoliopsida; Brassicales; Brassicaceae.
UUUACUAUAAUGAACUAUAAAAUAAUUCACAAAAAUUUAAGUUUUCGAUAAAAUUAAUUUCAUUAACUAAAAUUUAACUAUUAAAAUAAGCAUCCAAUCAAUUUCCAUAAAGAAUUGAUUCUUUAAAAUAUAGACAAUAAGGCUAAGUAAAAAUAAUUUGUUUAACAUAUAUAUAAUAUGAACAUAUUUUAUAAAAACAUUUAUUUUUAAAAAAAAACUAGACAAGAAAAUAAAAUUAACUACUUUAAAAUUAUUUUAUGUGUUAAGAGAUGUAUUGGUAUUAUUUAUUAAAAAUGAUAUUUAUUUUAGUAAUUUUAAUUUUAUUUAAAAUAAAUUAACUUAUAAGUGAAGUUCUUAAAAAUAAUAAAUAACUUUUAAAUUAAAUAAAUAACUAAUCAAAUUUUACAAAAAACAAAAUAUACAAAAAUUCAAAAAAAAAAUCCCAAACAAAAACCAGAAACUAGAAUCUAGUAUCACCAUUCAAGUUUUUUGAGAAACUAAAUUCUAUAGCAAAAUCAAAAACCAAAAAUUUAAAACCAAAAUCUAAAAAGCAAAAUCCAAAUGCCAAAAACCAAAAUUCAAAAAUCAUGUAAACAAUUAUCACCUUAAUUAGCGCUUCGUUUUUUUAAGAAAAGUUUAGCGCUUUGUUUUAGCUUAAAUUUUGGUUUACAAGUGUUUAAAUCCUACCAUACAGAAGUAUAUAGAACAAUUCGAUGGAUGAUGACAAAAGAAUAAAGAACAAUUCGAUGGAACAAUUCGAUGUCCAGUUUCAAC